CCGCCUUUGAUGCGCAUUCCUCCUUCCUUCUUGCUUUUCCUAAACAACCCUGCAAUUUGGCACACCAACACUGGCAAUAAUAUUCUAAACGAGCCCCAUAUGUAAACUGGCAAGUGUCCAACUUCUUAAUUACUUUCCUGCCUCUAUCUAAAAAAGAUCUAAGUAGCAAACACCACGCUACUGCAUGUGAAGCAAAGCCUCUGUUUAUAAAUGUUCGAAGCCGCCACCAAAACAAUACAUUGUUCUGCCUUCAGCACAAUGAAAAAGAGGUUUGGUCUGUUUUUUUUUUUUUUUUAAGAUAAAAGCUCUCAAGUGUUUGGAGCUAGAGCUAUGCAGCAGACUUGCAAGAACAUAGUCUGCCUAGAAAACCACAUGACAAAAUGACAUUUUUCUGGAACCUGAGUUGUGUGACACCGCAUCGAUACACCACCACUUAUCUUACCAGCUGCGUCUGCCAGUUGGCUAAAUGAGCUCCCUUCCAAAUGCAUACAUGAAUUAAAAAAUCCAUUUUCCCCUGCAUUUUUUUUUUUUUUUUUUUUUUUUAGGAGGCCAGGGUUUUACUUCAAGACAAAUAAAUACGGAACCUGGACUGGGACUGGGCGGAACCCUGUCCUCUCCGCCUCAUUCUGCAGGAGCCCCCUCCACCCCUGACAACUCGUGCAAAUGUCAUCACUGCCAGUGAGGGAAGACCUGAGACCCAGCACUAGUUCCACCCGCUCCCAACCACAGAUCCUGCUCCAGCUCCGUAUGGCAAAGCACGAUGUCAGUCACGGCGAGCGGCCGGACUGGUUACCUCCCCACCUGCAACAAAUUGGAGCUGCCCCUUCCCAGGCCCUCAGCAGUCUGGCAGAGUGUUCAUUCUGGGGUCUUGCUGUGAAGCACCUGGGCCCAAAACAUGGAAAACACUCAGUCCAAGGUCCCGCUGCUAUUUCAACAGACUGUCAAGCAGGGCCGUCUGGGUCUUCUAGCACAGUGUUGACAGAAGCCACCGCGUGCCCAGCAGUUCGGGAGGCCGGGCCGUGCUAACCUAAGCCUGGGCAGGUGCAUGUGCGUGUGUGCGCGCAUUUUCCCGGGUCCCUCCAGUGCAUCCUAUCUCAUCAAUUUAUCGGUUUACUCUCGCUCCAGUAAGUUUUUGUGCUACUUUAUUGCUUCACUGAGUAAUACAAACAGCGCCCUUCCCAGCCCACCUCCUCCUCCUGUGCCCCCGGCCACACCAAACCACCUUCACCACCCUCGCAGGCUCCUCCAUCACCUGCCUUUCACAGCUAAUCCAAAACUCAGCUCAGGUCGCCUCCACGGGAAAGCCUUCCUGGACCAUCCCCUGUCCUCGGUCUGGGUUAAGGGGCAUGUGGCCCCCCACAGUUAUCUUUUAGUGGCCCCCCAGCCCACUUCGGCAUGACUAUUAUCCUAUUAUCCCUAUACUUGGUAGGCAUUCAAUAAACAUUUUGCCCAGUGACUUAAUGCAGAUAUGCUUGAAGAGACAACACGGGGGUGCCUGGGUGCCUCAAUUGGCUGGGUGACUGCCUUCAGCUCAGGUCAUGAUCCUGGAGGCCCAGGAUCGAGUCCUGCAUCAGGCUCCCUGCUCAGCAGGGAGUCUGCUUCUCCCUCUGAGCCUCCCCACUCUCGUGCUAUCAAAUAAAUAAAUAAGGUCUUUGGGGCACAUGGGUGGCUCAGUGGGUUAAAGCCUCUGCCUUCGGCUCAGGUUAUGAUCCCAGGAUCCUGGCAUUGAGCUCCGCAUUGGGCGCUCUGCUCAGCAGGGAGCCAGCUUCCUCCUCUCUCUCUGUCUGCCUCUCUGCCUACUUGUGAUCUCUGUCUGUCAAAUAAAUAAAAUCUUAAAAAAAAAAAAAAACUUAAAAAAAAAAAAAGAGAGACAACACGGUUCUGGCAGGUUAGCCUCUCCUCCGUCAGAGGUGUGCAGCUGCCGCCUAGGCAUUCUGAUGGAGUCACCAGAGCAAAAACAGUGCGAAAGUAUUAAGCUUGUGUAUCGGCUUAUCAAAAACUGGCAAAAACUGGCACUGUGAUGUUCCCAUAUGAACAAGUUUGACAGAUUACUGUAAAUUACAAGGUGAAUCACAACAAAAUUUAACAAGAGCCAGACUGAUCUACUGACUUCACACCCUUUCCCAGAGCAUGUGGGACCUAAAGGAAAGGAGGAGCACAGGAGUGACAGGCUGGGUCCCUCUCCGCACUCUACCACUACCUUAUGUCACAGGAGAGAAAAUGGAUCUACGCUCGCUGGGCUAAAACGAGUAUGACUUCAGUUUUCAAUUCUUUUACACACAUUCCUGUUUCUACACCUCCACUGUUCCCUGGUGAGUGCUUUCCGUAUACGGGGUGGACCAGAUUGCUUUCCCUUACUCUCGCAAACCCUGUGACAGUCUCCUGCAGAGGGAGGAGGCAGUAAGGCAGCCCAGCCCUCAGAUGAGGGGAACCAGGAUGCUCCUUAAUUUCAGCAGGUUUGUACUACACAACUUCUCAAAGCUAUGACGAAGGUGAUUCAAAGUCCACUGAUUCCUUCCAGGCAUAUUUAACCUUCUUUACUCUUUGCCAAUCAAACUAAACCUUUACGAGGUGUGUGUGUGUGUGUGUGUGUGUGCGCGCGCGCGCGCGCACAUACUGAAACAGGAAGAGCUGUAACAACCCUGCUUUUUCCAGGACUCAUCCCACUGCUACAUGACGAGUCGGCAGGACCACAUCAGGGUUCCCAUCAAAUGCUGUUGGUUGGGGACGUUCAGGUUCUCUUGAAAUCUGUCUUGCCUUCCUAGUUCCUGUGGCGCAAAGUCUCGCUUUCUCUGCCUGGCCGUCAGAACAGCCUUGCCUAGUCAGCAUCUUCCCUUCUGUUCCACUCGGCCUACUUUCCAUUCUACCAGCACCGUUUCCUUGCCACGUCACAAAUACGCUAGGCUCAGUGUCAUCUGUCCCAGGACAUGCACGCCCCUGGUGGGCUCCCCCUUCCACUCUGUCCCAGUCACCGGGCCCCACCCCACGAAGUCCCUUCCGCACUUCCACUCUCUGGUUCUCCUGCAGGAAGAUGCUCGGGCUACAGACCCAUUGUCCCCUUCAGUGCGCACUGUGCAGCCUACGUUGUUUGCUGAUCAACUGUAAGCGUCUCAGCUCUUAAUUACUUUGAAAGUACCCUAUAAAGAAAGUGUCGCACUUUCCUAGGGUAUGAGCAGACCAGUGGGCUGGAAGGAGCUCUGCCCUGGGGGCGAGGGGCGGGGCAGUCCUGGCUGCUACAGCACUGGUCAAACCCCCAGCUAGGACUUCACUCUCAUCCAAAAUCAGAGGUCUGAACCUCUCAGGACCUCUAACCGUUAAGGUCUCUGCCCUUUAAUUUCUGAGUCAAUCACUGAAAAUGAGACUUUGGCAGCAGGAACAGGGAGGCAGGACAGGUUUCAAGAGGACCUGAAUCAGUUAGAAAGGCUCGUCUGGCCAUGAUAUCAGCAACUGCUGGGAAAGAGAUGAACCUGGUAUAAAAUGAAGACUUUUGUUUGGGAGCCAAAAAUCAAUCAUUUAUUUUAUUAAGAUAAUACAGAUUCAUUCCAUUUUCUGAGAUGUUUAUAUAGAAAAUGCUGAUUUAGUCUCCCCCCCCAUAUAUAUUUUAUAUAUAUAUUUUAAACUAUGAUAAACUAGAAAUAGCUUUCCAGAGGAUAUUUACAGAGGCAAAUAUUAUAAUAAAGAAUAUUAUUUUCAAUCCCCAAAUUUGAAGCAAUUCCUUAUUUUCUACUUCUCUAAGAAUGUCCUGAUAAUGUCUUGCACCAACAGCAUUUGAUGGGAACCCUGAUGUGGUCCUGCCAACUCAUCAUGUAACAAUGAGAUAAGGCCUGAAAAAAACGGGGUUGUUAUAGUUCUUUUCCAGUUUUUCAAAAUAAGCAUCUGAAAUUAAAACACCAAGCUAUUUAGGGAUGACUGCAUACUGUUUGUUGUCUGUGUUAAGAUUUUCCUGAGGACCAUGUUUCAGUGUAGAAAGUAACUGUGUUUGAUAUGGUGAAGCAGACAAGACCAUAUUCUUGGUCAAUGAUUAUAUUCGAUAAUUUCUUUUUCUUCCUUGCUUUAUUUAUUUUUUUAAAGAUUUUAUUUAUUUAUUUGACAGACAGAUCACAGGGAGGCAGAGA
Molecule: long non-coding RNA, 4115 nt
Organism: Mustela lutreola (European mink)
Lineage: Eukaryota; Metazoa; Chordata; Mammalia; Carnivora; Mustelidae
Exons: 3
Source: RefSeq, a predicted model, not a curated record